AUAAAGUUUUCUUUGUUGGGGUUGCGGACAUAUCAUAACGAAGAGGUAUCGUAAUUGAAGAGGUUUGGAAAGACCCACCACAGAAGGUAAUAGUCCUGUAUGUUAAACGAGAAGACUUUAGAUAUGAUCCAGAGUACCACGGGACACGUGAAACCCUGUGGGAAGCAGGAGGGACCACCCUCCAAGGCUAAAUACUACCUAGUGACCGAUAGCGUAUAGUACCGUGAGGGAAAGGUGAAAAGAACCCCGGGAGGGGAGUGAAAUAGAACCUGAAACCCUGCACUUACAAGCUGUGGAAGCACAUUUCUUGUGUGACCGCGUACUUUUUGUAGAACGGGCCAACGAGUUACGUUAAGUAGCAAGGUUAAGCACUUAAGGUGCGGAGCCGUAGCGAAAGCGAGUUUUAACUGAGCGUUCAGUUACUUGACGUAGACCCGAAACCGGGCGACCUACCCAUGAGCAGGAUGAAGCGAAAGUAAAAUUUCGUGGAGGUCCGAACCCACGAGCGUUGAAAAGCUCGGGGAUGACUUGUGGGUAGCGGUGAAAUUCCAAUCGAGCCCGGAGAUAGCUGGUUCUCCCCGAAAUAGCUUUAGGGCUAGCCUCAAGGUGAGAGAUACGGAGGUAGAGCACUGAAUGUCCUAGGGGGUAUUGCACCUACCGAAGACUAUCAAACUCCGAAUGCCGUCAUCUUAUACUUGGGAGUCAGACUGUGGGUGAUAAGAUUCAUAGUCGAAAGGGCAACAGCCCAGAUCGUCAGCUAAGGUCCCUAAAUGUAAGUUAAGUGGUAAAGGAUGUGGGAUUGCACAGACAACCAGGAUGUUGGCUUAGAAGCAGCCACUCAUUCAAAGAGUGCGUAAUAGCUCACUGGUCGAGUGAUCCUGCGCCGAAGAUUUCCGGGGCUAAAACUUACUACCGAAGCUACGGCAUCAGUAAUGAUGGGUAGGGGAGCUUCCCAUACGGGUUGAAGCAUGACCGUAAGGACAUGUGGACAGUAUGGGAGUGAGAAUGUUGGCAUGAGUAGCGAGAUGUGGGUGAGAAUCCCACAGGCCGUAAACCCAAGG
This 1061-nucleotide ribosomal RNA is filed under the name Clostridioides difficile. Its description in RNAcentral is "partial 23S ribosomal RNA". It matches the Rfam family "Bacterial large subunit ribosomal RNA", at positions 277 to 1350 of the family's 2925-position model. Lineage: Bacteria; Bacillati; Bacillota; Clostridia; Peptostreptococcales; Peptostreptococcaceae. The record is from RNAcentral.